GCUAUGACGGGUAACGGGGAAUUAGAGUUCGAUUCCGGAGAGGGAGCCUGAGAAAUAGCUACCACAUCUAAGGAAGGCAGCAGGCGCGUAAAUUACCCAAUUCUAAAGAAGAGAGGUAGUGACAAGAAAUAACAAUACAAGGCCAAUCUGGCUUUGUAAUUGGAAUGAUGGGAAUUUAAAUCCUUCCCAUAAUACAAUUGGAGGGCAAGUCUGGUGCCAGCAGCCGCGGUAAUUCCAGCUCCAAUAGCGUAUAUUAAAAUUGUUGCAGUUAAAACGCUCGUAGUUGAAUUUCAAAGAACCAAUAUUUUAAUAACGCCGUUAGCUAGAUCCACAAGGGGUUGAGCCAAUCACGGUUUCGGCUUCUGUGCGCAUCCUACCUAUCAAGCGUUUUUUUAAUUAAAGUGUUUCUUUUUAAAAUCUUCUUUACCUUAACCAUAUGGAAGAUUUUGUUACUUUGAGUAAAUUAAAGUGUUCAUAGCAAACAGAUACAGCAUUGCGCGUUUUGAAUACUACAGCAUGGAAUAACAAAAUUGAACAAGUCAAAACUAUGUUUCUUUUUUUUUAUUUUUGGCUUAGUUACGAUUAAUAGGAGUAGUUUGGGGACAUUUGUAUUCAGAUGUCAGAGGUGAAAUUCUAAGAUUUUCUGGAGACAAACAACUGCGAAGGCAUUUGUCUAAAAUACUUCCAUUAAUCAAGAACGAAAGUUAAGGGAGUGAAGACGAUCAGAUACCGUCGUAAUCUUAACCAUAAACUAUACCGACUAGGUUUUGGAUGAAAGUUAAACAAAUAAGGAUAGUCUCUUCGGGGAUAGUCCUUAGAUUUCUUCCUUCAGUACCCUAUGAGAAAUCAAAGUCUUUGGGUUCUGGGGCGAGUAUUCGCGCAAGCGAGAAAGUUAAAAGAAUUGACGGAAGGGCACCACCAGGCGUGGAGCUUGCGGCUUAAUUUGACUCAACACGGGAAAACUCACUAGUUUAAGACAAGAGUAGGAUUGACAGAUUAAUAGCUCUUUCUUGAUUUCUUGGAUGGUGAUGCAUGGCCGUUUUUAGUUCGUGAAUAUGAUUUGUCUGGUUAAUUCCGAUAACGAACGAGAUCUUAACCUGCUAAUUAGCGGCAAAUACGAUAUAUUCUUACGUGGGACUGAAUUCGGUUGAUUUGCUUACUUUGAAGAAAAUAUUGGGAUACGUAACAGUUUCCCUUUCCCUUUUCUACUUAGUUCGCUUUUCAUACUGUUUCUUUUUCGCGUAAGAAUGUAUUUGCUUGAUUGUAAAGCUUCUUAGAGGAACGAUGUGUGUCUAACACAAGGAAGUUUAAGGCAACAACAGGUCUGUGAUGUCCUUAGAUGAACUAGGCUGCACGCGUGCUACACUGAUAUGUAUAACGAGUUAUUAAAAUUACGAUUCAGCUUGCUGUUUCGUAUUUUUCCUCCACUGAAAAGUGUAGGUAAUCUUUAUCAGUACAUAUCGUGAUGGGGAUAGAUUAUUGCAAUUAUUAAUCUUGAACGAGGAAUGCCUAGUAAGCACGAUUCAUUAGAUUGUGCUGACUACGUCCCUGCCCUUUGUACACACCGCCCGUCGCUCCUACCGAU
This 1585-nucleotide ribosomal RNA is filed under the name Plasmodium vivax (malaria parasite P. vivax). RNAcentral's name for it is "SSU rRNA". It matches the Rfam family "Eukaryotic small subunit ribosomal RNA", at positions 349 to 1689 of the family's 1831-position model. The record is from RNAcentral. Lineage: Eukaryota; Apicomplexa; Aconoidasida; Haemosporida; Plasmodiidae.